GAUGAACGCUGGCGGCGUGCCUAAUACAUGCAAGUCGAGCGAACAGACGAGGAGCUUGCUCCUCUGACGUUAGCGGCGGACGGGUGAGUAACACGUGGAUAACCUACCUAUAAGACUGGGAUAACUUCGGGAAACCGGAGCUAAUACCGGAUAAUAUAUUGAACAGCAUGGUUCAAUAGUGAAAGACGGUUUUGCUGUCACUUAUAGAUGGAUCCGCGCCGCAUUAGCUAGUUGGUAAGGUAAAGGCUUACCAAGGCAACGAUGCGUAGCCGACCUGAGAGGGUGAUCGGCCACACUGGAACUGAGACACGGUCCAGACUCCUACGGGAGGCAGCAGUAGGGAAUCUUCCGCAAUGGGCGAAAGCCUGACGGAGCAACGCCGCGUGAGUGAUGAAGGUCUUCGGAUCGUAAAACUCUGUUAUUAGGGAAGAACAAAUGUGUAAGUAACUAUGCACGUCUUGACGGUACCUAAUCAGAAAGCCACGGCUAACUACGUG
RNAcentral lists this ribosomal RNA (497 nucleotides) under uncultured bacterium. RNAcentral's name for it is "partial 16S ribosomal RNA". It matches the Rfam family "Bacterial small subunit ribosomal RNA", at positions 28 to 507 of the family's 1533-position model. The record is from RNAcentral.